GUCGAGCGAGGUUACUGUUUUGGAUCCCUUCGGGGUGAAGAAGCUUUAACCUAGCGGCGGACGGGUGAGUAACGCGUGGGUAACCUACCCCAAAGUCCGGGAUAACAGCGGGAAACCGCUGCUAAUACCGGAUGUCUUUACCUUGGGGCAUCUUGAGGUAAAGAAAGGUAACGCUUUGGGAUGGGCCCGCGUCCCAUUAGCUAGUUGGUGAGGUAACGGCUCACCAAGGCGACGAUGGGUAGCCGGCCUGAGAGGGUGGACGGCCACACUGGGACUGAGACACGGCCCAGACUCCUACGGGAGGCAGCAGUAGGGAAUAUUGCGCAAUGGACGGAAGUCUGACGCAGCGACGCCGCGUGAGCGAUGAAGGUCUUCGGAUCGUAAAGCUCUGUCCUUGGGGAAGAAGGCGAAAGCUUGACGGUACCCAAGAAGAAAGCCCCGGCUAACUACGUGCCAGCAGCCGCGGUAAUACGUAGGGGGCGAGCGUUGUCCGGAAUUACUGGGCGUAAAGGGUGCGUAGGCGGCCCUUUAAGUCGGAUGUGAAAGCCCGCGGCUUAACCGCGGAAUGGCAUUC
This 574-nucleotide ribosomal RNA is filed under the name uncultured bacterium. RNAcentral describes it as "bacterial SSU rRNA". It matches the Rfam family "Bacterial small subunit ribosomal RNA", at positions 61 to 628 of the family's 1533-position model. The record is from RNAcentral.